UGGGUCGGCCAGACGGUCGCGUCACCGGCUCCGGCCGGUGCCGAGGAACGUCCGGGCUCCGCAGAGCAGGACGGUGGGUAACGCCCACCCGGGGUAACCCGCGAGACAGUGCCACAGAGAACAGACCGCCGGAGCGAUCCGGUAAGGGUGAAACGGUGGGGUAAGAGCCCACCAGCGCCCGGGGUGACCCGGGCGGCUCGGUAAACCUCGUCCGGAGCAAGGUCAGACAGGACACCAGGGGGCUGCUCGUCCCGUGUCCGGGUAGACCGCUAGAGGGGCACGGCAACGUGUCCCCGAGAGAGAUGGCCGUCACGGACCUUCGGGUCCGGACAGAACCCGGCGUACCGGCCGGCCCACCGC
This 360-nucleotide RNase P RNA is filed under the name Mycetocola reblochoni. RNAcentral describes it as "RNase P RNA component class A". It matches the Rfam family "Bacterial RNase P class A". From Rfam's summary of the family: Ribonuclease P (RNase P) is a ubiquitous endoribonuclease, found in archaea, bacteria and eukarya as well as chloroplasts and mitochondria. The record is from RNAcentral. RNAcentral also lists the same sequence under 1 other name. Lineage: Bacteria; Bacillati; Actinomycetota; Actinomycetes; Micrococcales; Microbacteriaceae.